UCAAUAACCUGCAGGAUUCAGGAGUGAAGCUGCUCUCUGCUGGACUGGAGAAUCCACACUGUACACUGGAGAUACUGAGAAUAAACGGUUAGGAAGUGAAAGUGAAAGUCAGAGUCUCCAUUUUGUGUGGAGGGGAAAAUACACCAUUUCAGGAGUAAAAACACAGGUUUGAUUUAACACACCGAUGUUGGAGUGAAGUAAACGUGUUUCCUGCUGUAAUCUGGAGAAGGAGACAUGACCUCCAACAUGAGUGUGUCUGGAGAACAGGACUUAAAGAAAGACGAGAGAAUGAUGAAGAGAAAGAGAUCAGACUCACCAGAACCCAGCUGUGUGUCCAUGAAGAGUGACUGGUCAAUGGAGCAACCACUUACCUUCAGAGAUGGAGCCAGUUCUCCUGAUGUGAGACCACAACAGAAGAAAUCAAACCUCAGCAGAAAUCAGUUGGACUCCAUAUUCAAGGAGCUGGAACACAAAGUCAUCACUCUGAUAAAGAAUGAGCUGAAGAGGUUCAGGAAGCUCCUGAGUCCAGAUUACCCAGCAUGCACUGAGAGGGAGGUGGAGGAUGAGGAGGAUCUGCACAGUGUCAGAGACGGAGCGCUGAAGAUCACACUGCACGUCCUGAAGAUCAUGAACCACACAGAUCUCGCUAACACACUGCAGAACAAACUCGUCUCUGUGUAUCAGACAGAGCUGAAAUCCAGCCUGAGAGAGAAGUUUAAAAGAAUUAAUGAAGGAAUGUCACAGCAUGGAAGCUCAGCACUUCUGAAUGAGAUCUACACAGAGCUCUACAUCACAGAGGGUUGGAGUGGAGACGUCAAUAAUGAACAUGAGGUGAGACAGAUUGAGACAGCGUCCAGGAGACCAGCAGCACAGGAGACACCCAUCAAAUGUAAUGAUCUCUUUAAAGACAAGUCCAUCAGAAGAGUGCUGACUAAAGGAGUUGCUGGAAUUGGAAAAACAGUCUCUGUGCAGAAGUUCAUUCUGGACUGGGCUGAAGGAAAAGCAAAUCAGGACGUCACCUUCAUGUUUCCACUUCCCUUUAGAGAGCUGAAUCUGAUGAAGCAGAAACAUCUCAGUCUGAUGGAUCUUCUUCAUCACUUUUUCCCUGAAAUGAGAAAACUACAAUUAAUAGACUGUGACUCCUACAAAGCGGUGUUGAUCUUUGAUGGUCUGGAUGAGUGUCGACUUCCUCUAAAUUUCCAGAAGAAUGAGAGACUGUGUGAUGUGACAGAGUCAGCCUCAGUGGAUGUGCUGCUGACGAACCUCAUCAAGGGGAAUCUGCUUCCCUCUGCUCUCCUCUGGAUCACCUCUCGACCAGGAGCAGCCAGUCAGAUCCCUCCUGAGUGUGUAGACCAGGUAACAGAGGUACGAGGGUUCAGUGAUCCUCAGAAAGAGGAGUACUUCAGGAAGAGGAUCAGUGAUCAGAGCCUGGCCAAUAAAAUCAUCUCACACACGAAGUCUUCAAGAAGCCUCUACAUCAUGUGCCACAUCCCAGUCUUCUGCUGGAUCUCAGCCACUGUUCUAGAGAGAAUGCUGGGUGAAGCAGAGCGUGGAGAGAUCCCCAAGACUCUGACUCAAAUGUUCACACACUUCCUGAUCUUUCAGAUCAAACACAAGGACCAAAAGUACCAUCAGAAAUGUGACCCUGAUCCUCAGCAGACCAGAGAGAGUAUCCUGGCACUGGGAAAACUGGCUUUCCAACAGCUGGAGACAGGAAACCUGAUCUUCUAUGAGGAAGACCUGAGAGAGUGUGGCAUUGAUGUGAGAGAAGUGUCAGUGUACUCAGGAGUGUGUACCCAAAUCUUCAGAGAGGAGUUUGGGCUUCACCUGGGGAAAGUGUUCAGCUUUGUACAUCUGAGUGUUCAGGAGUUUCUGGCUGCUUUAUACACAUUUCUCUCCUUCAUCAGCAGAAAUGUAACAGAACAACCAACCACUGAUCUGUCUGAUCUUCUCAACAAGUCAGACAUGUCUGAUCUCCUCAGGAGUGCAGUGAACAAGGCCUUACAGAGUGAGAACGGACACCUGGACCUGUUCCUCCGCUUCCUUCUGGGUGUCUCACUGGAGUCCAGUCAGACUCUCUUACGAGGCUUAAUACCACAGACAGGAAGCAGCUCUCACAGCAAACAGGAAACAGUCGAGUACAUCAAGGAGAAGAUCAGGGAGAAUCCAUCUCCAGAGAAAUCCAUCAAUCUGUUCCACUGUCUGAAUGAACUGAAUGAUCAUUCUCUAGUGCAGGAAGUACAGACUUACCUGAACAGAGGAGGUUACAGUCGUCUCAGGGGAACCAGACUCUCUCCUGCUCAGUGGUCAGCUCUGGUGUUUGUGUUACUGAACUCAGAUCAGGAGCUGGAUGAGUUUGAUUUGAGGAAAUAUGACCCAUCAGAGGAAUGUCUUCUGAAGCUGCUGCCAGUGGUCAAAGCCUCCAGAAGAGCUGAGCUGUGUGUGUGUAAUCUGACAGAGAAAAGCUGUAGAGUUCUGUCCUCAGUUCUCAGAUCAAACUCCUCCAGACUGAGAGAACUGAACCUGAGUAACAAUAACCUGCAGGAUUCAGGAGUGAAGCUGCUCUCUGCUGGACUGGAGAAUCCACACUGUACACUGGAGAUACUGAGGCUGUGGGAGUGUAAUCUGACAGAGGAAAGCUGUAGAGUUCUGUCCUCAGUUCUCAGAUCAAACUCCUCCAGACUGAGAGAACUGAACCUGAGUGACAAUAACUUGCAGGAUUCAGGAGUGAAGCUGCUCUCUGCUGGACUGGAGAAUCCACACUGUACCCUGGAGAUACUGAGUCUGUGUCGGUGUAAUCUGACAGAUGAAAGCUGUAGAGUUCUGUCCUCAGUUCUCAGAUCAAACUCCUCCAGACUGAGAGAACUGGACCUGAGUGUCAAUAACCUGCAGGAUUCAGGAGUGAAGCUGCUCUCUGCUGGACUGGAGAAUCCACACUGUACACUGGAGAUACUGAGGCUGUGGGAGUGUAAUCUGACAGAGGAAAGCUGUAGAGUUCUGUCCUCAAUUCUCAGAUCAAACUCCUCCAGACUGAGAGAACUGAACCUGAGUGACAAUAACCUGCAGGAUUCAGGAGUGAAGCUGCUCUCUGCUGGACUGGAGAAUCCACACUGUACACUGGAGACACUGAGGAUGUGGAACUGCAGUAUUACAGAUGAAGGUUGUGCUGCUCUGGCUUCUGCUCUGAGGUCAAACUCCUCAUCACACCUGAGAGAACUGGAUCUGAACUAUAAUAAUAAUCCAGGAGAAUCAGGAGUGAAGCUGCUCUCUGAUCUACUGAAGGAUCCACACUGUAACCUGGAGACACUACACAUUAACUAUAAUAAACUCACCAGGACUGGCGUAUGACAGGAGUCUCACCUCAAACCUCUUCUCCAGGAUAAAACAGUCUUGGUGAAGAGUUAGAACCUGUCCCACAUUUCCAGCAGUUUGGGAGCUGAAUCAUUAAACUUAAAGGGGCAGAGCAGAAACAAAGUCAAGAACAGGCAGAAGGUCGUACACAGGAGAAAUCAACACACGUAACCAAAUAUCUGCUGUACAAAGCACCGGCACCGAUCUGCCCCGGGGAUGGAGACUGACGAGGCUUAAGUACACGUCCGGAAAUGUACAGCCAACUCAUCCCAAAGGUGGGAGCAGGCGUGUACGAGAUGUGAUCGUCCAAUGGCAAGCCGGAACAUGACGCACUGCAGUGGACUGGGCUUAAAAGAGGAGGAGACAAGACACCCAUCCCUCCCCCGACAUAGACACACGAAUGGAACAUAGUACAAACAGAAAUACAACUGAGGACGUAACAAUGGACAAGUAUCAAAUAAAAUGUAAACUUGCAUUGAUGAAGUUAAUGUUGUUAGUAAUUGUUUAUAAAUUACCAUGGUAACACAGAGCUCCAAGGUAUAAAAAUAUGGAGCUUGUCAUCAACCGAACAGUAACCAGUUUUAAUACCUAAAAAAGUUUACGUAGCAAAAUUUAGCAAAGCGCUUUACAGUAAAUUAAAAUGUAAAAUGAAACUAAUGAAAUGUUGUGCAGCACAUGCUUAUGUUAAUGUUUGUUACAUUAUAUGAUCAUAUAAAUAAAUAAUUACUCCCAAAGUCACCAGAAUUGAAAGCUUUGGUGCUGUUAAACAUUUAGAGAUUGAGGUUGUGGUGACUCAGUAGUUCACUCAGUAUAUCUGGGUAAGACACAGUGAACGACUCACUGCUGGCAUUCAUGAAGAAGUCAUAAACUCCACUGGAAUAAUAAAUAGGAUCUAAUAAAAUCAUGAAUGGAAAUUAUUGGUGUAAGUUUGUUAGGAUAGACUUCCUCCAACCUGGAACUAUAUCCUCCAGUCCACGCGGUGGCGGUAACGCACCUAACAGCUGCGUCUCCGACCAGUAGAAAUCACAGAAGAAGAAAAAGCUGCAGCGGGUAUCUCCUGAGCAGUUGAGUUAUUACACCGAACUAAUCAUGUCCAGAUUAAAUUAUUUCUGACAGUUUUACAGUUAGGUUUGAUCCAGUUUAAACGUAAAAGCUGGUUAUUUUGUCUGUGUUUGAGGAAUUAAAACCGUUCUGUUUUUAAACCCGAGCGAUGAAGAAUCCAUUAAGGUGUACGUCCGCGUGCGACCUUUGACCCAAGGCCGGCUGAGGACAGACGGAGACCAGGAUUUAUGUUUGACGGUGACCUCGGAUCACACGCUGCGUCUGAACUCCAAACCCAAGCCGCGAAACUUCACCUACGAUCACGUGGCGGACAUGGACGCGACUCAGGAAUACAUGUUCUCCUUAGUCGCUAAAAACAUUGUGGAGUCGUGCACGCAUGGUUACAAUGGCACGAUAUUUGCAUAUGGACAGACGGGUUCAGGGAAGACCUUUCCCAUGCUGGGGCCGAACGAGCUGACUGAUUUCUCUGAUCAGCUGCGUGGUGUUAUUCCUCGUAGCAUUGAGCGUUUGUAAUCCCUCAUGAGAGUAAUCCCAUCAGAGUGGGGGCGGAGGUGAGCUGUUACAUUCAACCUCACAUCAAACACGCUACCUGCACCACCCUCCUGUCUGUAGACACGGCAGCAGACCCGCCCACUCGUCAAUAAGCCCACCCACUCGUCCACAGACCACCCGCUCGUCAAUAAGCCCACCCACUCGUCCACAGACCGCCCGCUCGUCAAUAAGCCCACCCACUCGUCCACAGACCGUCCGCUCGUCAAUAAGCCCGCCCACCUGUCCACAGACCGCCCGCUCGUCAAUAAGCCCGCCCACUUGUACAUAGACCCACCUGCUCUUCAAUAAGCCCACCCACUUUCCACAGACCACCCGCUCUUCAAUAAGCCCACCCACUCGUCCACAGACCGCCCGCUCGUCAAUAAGCCCGCCCACUUGUACAUAGACCCACCUGCUCUUCAAUAAGCCCACCCACUUGUCCACAGACCACCCGCUCUUCAAUAAGCCCACCCACUCGUCCACAGACCACCCGCUCGUCAAUAAGCCCGCCCACUUGUACAUAGACCCACCGCAGUCAUCACUGAGGUCACCUCUGUGUUUUAAAUUGUGCACUGCUUACAUUAAAAGUGCAUUAUGGGUAAUCUUCAUUUUCUAAGGUACAUCAUUUGACACUAAUCUGUUGCAGUGCAUUUUGGGAUUUUAUCAGCCGGAUGUUCUGGUCACGUUACACAGUAUUGUAAGUUUGUGUGUGUGUGUGUGUGUGUGUGUGUGUGUGUGUGUGUGUGCACGUGCAGUCUGCAGUAGCAAAGAGCUUCCUGUGUAAAUGCUCUUUCAUCGAGAUCUACGAAGAGAAGCCCUUUGACCUCCUGGGCAGCGCCUCAGUGAGUCUGGUCCUCAGAGAGGACAUUGAGAAAGCACUGUUUGUGGAAGGAGCGGUGGAGAAAUACGCGGCUUCAGCCACAGAUGCCUACCAGAAUCUGGAUCAGUUGUUCAGAACAAAGAAUCAGCACAGUUAAUCAGCACAGCAAACAGUUCAGAACUGACCAAGUGAAUCUCUAUCAAAUUACUGACUCAAGUGAAGUUUUAGAGCAGAGUAUUCCUACCCUGAACCUGUGAAUCACACUCCUUCAGAACGCUUAAACUAUACAAUAAAUUAGUAAAUUAAUCAAACUUAAAACCGAUCUAAUAAAUUGGUGAGGUAUGUUAGUUGUCGGGAACAGAAAAGUGAUAAAUUGGUGAACUGGGCAAGCUCAGAACUGAUUCAUUUAACUGGUUACACAAACAGAACAGAGAAUUAAUACAGUGAAUCAGUAAAUUAAACAGUUCAGAAUCGAUUCAGUGAAUCAGUUAAUCAAGCAGUUUGGAACUAAUACAGCAAAUUAGUACUUCAAACUUGUUCCGAAUUAAUACAGUGAAUCAGUAAAUUCACCGGCUCAGAAUUGAUUCAGUGACAAUUCAUAACUGAGGAAGAUGACACUCUGCACGCUGAGAGAGAGGCGGCUCUGGACGCUCUGCUCGCUGAGAGAGAGGCGGCUCUGGACGCUCUGCCGCUGAGAGAGAGGCGGCUCUGGACGCUCUGCUCGCUGAGAGAGAGGCGGCUCUGGACGCUCUGCGCGCUGAGAGAGAGGCGGCUCUGGACGCUCUGCGCGCUGAGAGAGAGGCGGCCCUGGACGCUCUGCGCGCUGAGAGAGAGGCGGCUCUGGACGCUCUGCACGCUGAGAGAGAGAGGCGGCUCUGGACGCUCUGCACGCUGAGAGAGAGGCGGCUCUGGACGCUCUGCACGCUGAGAGAGAGGCGGCUCUGGACGCUGUGCACGCUGAGAGAGAGGCGGCUCUGGACGCUCUGCGCGCUGAGAGAGAGGCGGCUCUGGACGCUCUGCGCGCUGAGAGAGAGGCGGCACUGGACGCUCUGCGCGCUGAGAGAGAGGCGGCUCUGGACGCUCUGCGCGCUGAGAGAGAGGCGGCUCUGGACGCUGUGCGCGCUGAGAGAGAGGCGGCUCUGGACGCUCUGCGCGCUGAGAGAGAGGCGGCUCUGGACGCUGUGCACGCUGAGAGAGAGGCGGCUCUGGACGUUCUGCACGCUGAGAGAGAGGCAGCUCUGUGUGCCGAGAUCGAUAGGCUCAGGCUGGAAAUUGUGACUAGGAGGACAAGCUCACGCAGGCCUAGAUGAGACGACUGAUCCUUGAGCAGAAGACGAAGGCGGUGGAAAACCGACACCGAAAAUAAACAAAAUACAGCUGAAGACUGGAAAAAACGUCACCUUCCAGUCUCCAGCUGUGUCAGGUUCCUGUUCCUGCCUGACAAGAGCGGAGCCUGAUGUGACGAUCUGCUGAUGGAGCCCAUCCACCUCAAGAUUUGAGGAUAGUUUAAUUUAACAACCAUGGUGAAAUGUAAACAGCAACCUUUAUGUUAGUUGUUUGUUGCCAUGGUUACAUUCUAACAUCAUAAAAUAUGGUACUUUCGAAUGGUUUCCAACGUUCACUGUGUUUAUACGAGGUUUCUACAAGAAAGUUUGGUUAGCAGAAGUUUGGUUAGCAGUUGAUGCUGUGUGUAAUUAAAGUGUAAUUUUAGCAAUGCAUUGUCUUUUCUUAGUAAUUUAUUUACAAAUCUGAGUGAAAUGUCUAUUUCCUGUAGCUCUGUUGUGUUUCCACCAUCAUUCCGUCUUUACAUCCUUACUAACAUCUUAAUAGCUAUGGUCCAGCUAGCUAAAGUGUCCGCCUUACCAACUGCAACAUGUUUCUCAGUUGCCUAGCAACAGUGUUUUUAUGACUUCACGAUGAGCAUAUGAUUUUAGCAUAUACUUCUUUUAGUAUUGGACCUUAGCCAAUCAGAAAUGAAUAUUUUCUCUCUCUGUCUCUCUCUCUUUCACGUACGUGUUGACGGUUACACCAUUUCUUACCUGUUUAGUUGCUAGGUAACCGGCCAACUUUCAUCUCAUUAAGCUCUCUGUGUUUCAUUUCUUUAUAGCUCGGUCACCAGGAAAAAUGUGUGCGCAUGCAUGGUUGUGUGUAUGUGUGUGUGUGUGUAUUUGUGUGUGUGUGUGUGUGUGUACACACAAUGUAGCGAGUCAUCAGGUUCUCAUGUAAUUGUUUUGGCAACACUGACCCGUGCUGUUGCUCAUGUGUGAAAGGAAUGAAGUGUUAAUGGAAAAUUGGCAGUGCGGAGUCUGAUAACCAGCACGGUCUGCUCCACGCACUCUGUGUGUGUGUGUGUGUGUGUGUGUGAGUGCCAAGAGAGUUACAUUGUUGUUAUUAUUAUGUUAUUAUAAGGCAUUGUGUCUAUCACGGUCUUUGGCUUGCUGCUCAAAUGAAAUGUAUAUGUUCGAUUGUUCUCUCUGUAACAUGGCCGCCCUGCCCUGCCUAUUUAGUUAGUGUUAUUUGAAAUGACUCUGUGGGACCGAAAUAGGUCAUUGUAGUUUUAAAAUCAUGUAAAUAAAAAGGCUUUUGAAAUUCAAA
This is an RNA transcript of Ictalurus punctatus (channel catfish), 8359 nucleotides long. It is a transcript of the gene named NACHT, LRR and PYD domains-containing protein 12, with no coding region annotated. The transcript has 20 exons. NCBI's taxonomy places the organism in Eukaryota, Metazoa, Chordata, Actinopteri, Siluriformes, Ictaluridae. The record is from RefSeq and is a predicted model, not a curated record.